CGCAUGGUAGGAGAGCGUUCCGUAAGCCUGCGAAGGUGCCUUGUAAAGGGUGCUGGAGGUAUCGGAAGUGCGAAUGCUGACAUGAGUAGCGAUAAAGGGGGUGAAAGGCCCCCUCGCCGUAAGCCCAAGGUUUCCUACGCAACGUUCAUCGGCGUAGGGUGAGUCGGCCCCUAAGGCGAGGCAGAAAUGCGUAGCUGAUGGGAAGCAGGUCAAUAUUCCUGCACCGUCGUUAGAUGCGAUGGGGGGACGGAUCGCGGAAGGUUGUCCGGGUGUUGGACGUCCCGGUCGCUGCAUUGGAGAAGGCGCUUAGGCAAAUCCGGGCGCAGGAUUCAAGGGUGUGGCGCGAGCGACUUCGGUCGCGAAGCAAUUGGAAGUGGUUCCAAGAAAAGCCUCUAAGCUUCAGUCUAACGAUGACCGUACCGCAAACCGACACAGGUGGGCGAGAUGAGUAUUCUAAGGCGCUUGAGAGAACUCGGGAGAAGGAACUCGGCAAAUUGGUACCGUAACUUCGGGAUAAGGUACGCCCUUGUAGCUUGACUGGCCUGCGCCAG
RNAcentral lists this ribosomal RNA (551 nucleotides) under Burkholderia multivorans. Its description in RNAcentral is "bacterial LSU rRNA". It matches the Rfam family "Bacterial large subunit ribosomal RNA", at positions 1222 to 1773 of the family's 2925-position model. Lineage: Bacteria; Pseudomonadati; Pseudomonadota; Betaproteobacteria; Burkholderiales; Burkholderiaceae. The record is from RNAcentral.